UGACAUAAAAUAUUACAAAAUAGCUUCACUGUUACAAUUUUCAUAGAAUAUAGAUUUUCUUUCAAAUUCAUCCACCACUCCUCAGUCAUUCAUCACCUUUGGAAUUCAAAUUGUUUAGUAGAUGAGAUUCAUCAAGAUACAAAGAUGCUGAUUCUCCAACUAUGAGUUUCAAGCAAGCAUAUGCAGUUCAAUUCAGAUGGCAAAAAUCAGAGGAGAAUUAACAUGCCCGGACUCCUCUGGUUCAUUACCAUUGUUGUAGAAUUGGGACAGUCCAAACAUCAUAUAGCAGCUUGGAUAUAGAAUUUUCCCCUCUGGACUUGCCAAACUAUUCCAAGGAAUUUCGU
This is a long non-coding RNA of Vicia villosa (hairy vetch), 344 nucleotides long. RefSeq lists it as uncharacterized. The record is from RefSeq and is a predicted model, not a curated record. The transcript has 3 exons. Lineage: Eukaryota; Viridiplantae; Streptophyta; Magnoliopsida; Fabales; Fabaceae.